This 253-nucleotide ribosomal RNA is filed under the name uncultured bacterium. RNAcentral describes it as "partial 16S ribosomal RNA". It matches the Rfam family "Bacterial small subunit ribosomal RNA", at positions 524 to 776 of the family's 1533-position model. The record is from RNAcentral.
UACGAAGGGGGCUAGCGUUGUUCGGAUUUACUGGGCGUAAAGCGCACGUAGGCGGAUUGUUAAGUCAGGGGUGGAAUCCUGGAGCUCAACUCCAGAACUGCCUUUGAUACUGGCAAUCUUGAGUCCGGAAGAGGUGAGUGGAACUCCUAGUGUAGAGGUGGAAUUCGUAGAUAUUAGGAAGAACACCAGUGGCGAAGGCGGCUCACUGGUCCGGUACUGACGCUGAGGUGCGAAAGCGUGGGGAGCAAACAGG